RNAcentral lists this ribosomal RNA (450 nucleotides) under uncultured bacterium. RNAcentral describes it as "partial 16S ribosomal RNA". It matches the Rfam family "Bacterial small subunit ribosomal RNA", at positions 338 to 795 of the family's 1533-position model. The record is from RNAcentral.
CCUACGGGUGGCUGCAGUGGGGAAUAUUGGACAAUGGGCGCAAGCCUGAUCCAGCAAUGCCGCGUGUGUGAAGAAGGCCUGCGGGUUGUAAAGCACUUUGAGUGGGGAAGAAGGCCUGGGGGUUAAUAGCUUCUGGGAUUGACGUUACCCACAGAACAAGCACCGGCUAACUCCGUGCCAGCAGCCGCGGUAAUACGGAGGGGACGUACGGGGAUCGGAAUUACUGGGCGUAGUGCACGCGUAGGCGGGUGAAAGCCCUGGGAUUAACCUGGGAACUGCAUUGGAUACUGUUUGACUGGAGUGUGGUAGAGGUGUGUGGAAUUUCCGGUGUAGCAGUGAAAUGCGUAGAGAUCGGAAGGAACACCAGUGGCGAAGGCGGCACCCUGGACCGACACUGACGCUGAGGUGCGAAAGCGUGGGGAGCAAACAGGAUUAGAUACCCCUGUAGUC